This 63-nucleotide transfer RNA is filed under the name Amphigerontia montivaga. Its description in RNAcentral is "tRNA-Arg". The record is from RNAcentral. Lineage: Eukaryota; Metazoa; Arthropoda; Insecta; Psocodea; Psocidae.
UAGUAAGAAGCAAAAAAAUUGCAUUUAGUUUCGACCUAAAAGUUUAGUCUUUGACUCUACUAU